RNAcentral lists this long non-coding RNA (749 nucleotides) under Equus asinus (donkey). RNAcentral's name for it is "lncRNA (ENSEASG00005034565.1)". The record is from RNAcentral. Lineage: Eukaryota; Metazoa; Chordata; Mammalia; Perissodactyla; Equidae.
CCCAAGGCGGCAACGGGUCCGCAGGACGCGCUCACCGAGGUUCAGCGGCACGUUUGUGGGCGCGCAGGAGAGCCCAGGACAGCCGGAGCCAAGGGCAGGCGGUGGAGCUCAGGGGUGGAACGAAGGCGAAGCCCAGGAUGGGACAGACGGCGGAGCCCAGGAUGGGACGGACGGCGGAGCCCAGGACAGGCGGAGCCAAGGGCAGGCGGCGGAGCCCAGGACAGGACAGGCGGCGGAGCCCGGCAGGCCGCCCCGGCCCAGCCCCUAGCGCCGCAGUCUAGACCCGGCGCCUCGCUCCUCUGAUUCUCAGACGCCUGAGGACUCGCUGUGGUCGUGUUCGGAGGCCGUCAGCUGAGACGGCGCCAGUUUUGGCUCAACUGAAAAGUAAACACCCCAGCGAGAAUCUCCCAAAUGCAGGGACUUGGGAAACUGUGCAAGAUGCCUUGCUAAGUGAACAGAGCCAUGGGAACAACUCUAUCAUAAAAUACUGAGCACCUUCAAUGGAGUCCUGUGUGUGGUGCACCCUGGCAUGUGACAAGAUGCCCAUUGUUCUGACCCACUGCUGGAAUUGGGCUGUAUCUCUCCUUAAACAAAGUACAAUUUUCUCUUUGUAUCCAUAAGGUUAGAUCCUGGGAUGUACAUUCACACUAGAGAGAGCUUUUGACAUCUUGCUGGCAGAAGACUAUAGGGAAAUUAAUAAUAAUUUAUUCUCAGUUCAAACUUUUGAUACCAGUAUUCACAGGCUGCCC